Molecule: ribosomal RNA, 486 nt
Filed under: uncultured bacterium
Lineage: Bacteria
Description: bacterial SSU rRNA
Rfam family: Bacterial small subunit ribosomal RNA
Source: RNAcentral
GAUGAACGCUAGCUACAGGCUUAACACAUGCAAGUCGAGGGGCAGCAUGAACAUAGCUUGCUAUGUUUGAUGGCGACCGGCGCACGGGUGCGUAACAGGUGUGCAAUCUGUCCAUAAUCGGGGAAUAGCCCAGCGAAAGUUGGAUUAAUGCUCCAUGUGAGCCGAGGAGGCAUCUCUUUGGUUUGAAACGUAAGGAUUAUGGGUGAGCACGCUUCUGAUUAGGUAGUUGGUGAGGUAACGGCUCACCAAGCCGACGAUCAGUAGGGGUUCUGAGAGGAAGGUCCCCCACAUUGGAACUGAGACACGGUCCAAACUCCUACGGGAGGCAGCAGUGAGGAAUAUUGGUCAAUGGACGGAAGUCUGAACCAGCCAAGUCGCGUGAAGGAUGAAGGUUCUAUGGAUUGUAAACUUCUUUUGUCUGAGGGUAAAAAAGCGGAACGUGUCCGUUCUUGCAAGUAUCAGACGAAUAAGCAUCGGCUAACUCCG